AUGGUGGAGGAGAUGAUCUGAGCGACGAUGUCCUUGUUGGUGAAGCGGACGACGAAGCGGUACUUGGGGGUGUUGUACUUGUUCUUGUCCUGGUUGAUGAGACGGAUGCGGGCGCGGUAGUCGGUCUUGCCCUCACGGCGGCGCUUGUAUUUGACCUGGAAGCGCUUGAAGUAGGCGCGGGGCUUGGAGGCCUUGAUGAACGCCAUUGCUGCUCUGCAGAGAGAGAGAGUAGGCAGGCGGCGCUGAGAAGAAGAGAGAGUGAGGGAUGAGGGGAAAAUGUGUUAGGGUUUUCUCUCUUUUUAU
RNAcentral lists this long non-coding RNA (303 nucleotides) under Fragaria vesca (wild strawberry). RNAcentral's name for it is "long non-coding RNA (FVES_LNC001633)". The record is from RNAcentral. Lineage: Eukaryota; Viridiplantae; Streptophyta; Magnoliopsida; Rosales; Rosaceae.